UGGUGGCCUAGUGGUUAAGGACUCAGCAUUACUGCUGUGGGUCUGGUUACUGCUGUGGCUUGGGUUUGAUAUUUGGCCUGGGAAUUUCUGUAUACCUCAGGCUCAGCUAAAAAAAAAUAGUUCUUGUUACGAAUUUUGUUGGUGUCCGAGAAGACGAUGUGUAUUUUCUCUCGUAUCCCAUCUGCAUGCUGGCAUCCACAUUAGUUCUCACCUUUCAGUUAGCUCUCUUCAGGCUUUUGAAUUACAAAUAAUUUCAUCUCCUCUCUACAAGCAGAACUUUCGUUUUGAACAAUUGCUCUGCAUGGCCCAGCCCCACCUCUGCCCCCAGCAAUGCUGAAGGAUGGCAUCUGUAAGAGGGCCUCCUCGGCGUAGUCUGACUCUCCCAGGAGUGGUUAUAACCCCGACUGUUAGACCUGAGGUUUGAGACUUGUCUCUAAUUAGUUCUCUUCUCCUCUUAGAAAAGAUGCUUUCAACUCCUCAUUUCUUACUGACAUUCAAGUAAUGUUGUAUGAUGCUUGUUGAGGGCUUACUGUGUUCCAGACACAGUCGCGUUACGCGCUGUACUUAUUUCAUUUACGUCAUUUACCAUUAUUUUUCCCCUUUUAUAGAUAAGGACACAGGCCCAGAGAGGUUAAAUGACUUUUCCCAGGAUACACAACUGCGAAGCAGUCGAGUUGGGGUAGACACCAAGGCUUCACUGACAGCAGCACUGGCGCUGGACAAUCGACCUGCCUCGGAUGGCCCUACUCAGAUAAGACCCCCACUCUCCAACCGGGCCUUCCCUGUUAGACGCCUUGUUCCAGCAGGAGCAGAAGAGACCUCAGCAGCUGGACUAGGAACCCCACAUUCCCGCGACCUCCCAGGACCAACAGCAGAGGCUGAGGAGGGGUCUCCCCUGAUGGCGUGGCCACCUGGCCAGCUGUGUGGACAGCCACGCCUGCAGUCCCAGAUGCCACCCCAGCUUGGAGCACAUCAGAGGCCUCUGAGCACCGGGCCGUCUGGUGGCCACACGCCACAAGUCAGGUAGAUCCUGCCCAGUGUAGACAGCCUCUGGUGGGCCGCAGGGGGCUUGUGACCUGAGUUGGAAGACGGAGGGCAGGUGGCCUUGGAUCGCCUCGGGGAUCUGACGGCCAGAGUUUGGUCAGGCUCUAGAGAUCUGUGCUCUAGUGGACAGGGCAAGGCCAGACGCACAACUUGGAGGCCAGGCAGCCUCUGUGUCCCCAGAGCCUCACUUGUGGGCAGGACACAGCUAAGGACUGUGCUCCCUGGUGCUGGUGUCGCUAAGACCCCGGCCCUCAGGCUCCACAUUGGGCUUCUGCUCCACCCCUUCGAAAACCCAGGUCCUGACCUCCUCUUGGCCUCUGCCAGCGAGGUCCGACCUGUCCUUUGUCCCCCCAGGGCCUCAUCCUGUCCUCUAGGCUGUGUGUGGGGGGGGGCAGCCGGCCCCCCUCUGCCCUGCGCUGUGGGGCUGCGGGGCCUGCCAUGCUCCCCUCCGCCAGGGCUGCCCCUAUCUUGGGCCACUGCUGCUUGGAUGCUCCUCUCUCCUGACUCCUGCCCCACCCUGUCUCUCAGGGCCUGAGAGUUGGGUUCUCGGCUCCCUCUCAGCUCGGUGGCCCCAGCAUCGUGACCGCUGACCUCCUGAGGAGGGAGGAAGCGGUGUCUUCACCGCAAGACAGGGCCCUCCUGAUGGCAUUGCCCCAGAGCCCUCGUGGGGACAGGGUCAGGCUCAACCCUGGGGAUCCCAGAGCCACGACUGAGGAGGGGGUGCCCAGCCUGCACCCCGACCUGGACACAGCGGCAGGAUGGCCUGUAGUGGCCAAGGGUGAGCCCCCGGGGCGGGGAAAGCCUGUGCCUCCAUUGAGGGGAUGAGGGGGGCCCUGGGACCCCAGAGCCUGGCCACAGGGGCAGACCCCAUGACCAACAGCCAGCCGUGGCCCAGCUCAGCAGCACCUCUUCUGAGAAAGCCUCUGAGGUUCCCGGUCCUGUCAGGAUGGCGAGCCUCAUCUCUCCCAGGGGCAGCUGGCGGGGUCCCUGGGGUGGCACACCCAACACGAGGGCCACAUUUAUGGCGCAGGCAGUGGGGGCUGGCCCCCUCCCCACCUGCACCACCUCGCUUGGUCCUCAGGACCCCGGGCAGAUGUGGUAGGAAAGGGGAUGCAGGACCGGGUUUGCUGAUUCCAGGUUUAGCCCCUGGGCCGUGCUGCUCAUCAUCACCUCUGCCUGCAGCCUUUCCAGCUACUUCCUGCCCCUCCUUUUGCAUCCUUGGUUCCUGGGAAGCUGGGCGCUGACCCCUCGGCCUGUUGUGGGCUGACCUUGAGCAUGUGUUUGCUUAUUUCACACCAGGAUCUGGUCUGCCCAGCAGCGCCCAGCACCCCUGGGGACAUCUUCCUGGAGUCACCUCAGCCACCCCUCCCCAGAGUGUCUCAGGCCUUAAAGUCACGCUCCUUCCUGCCAGCUGUCUCCUCUUCCUCCCCCGUCCGGAGGCACGCCUGCACGGAGACAGCCUGGCCUCAGCUUACCUCCCGGACCCCGUCGCUGCAAGGAUGCCCUGAAGGGGGCUGGGGGCAUUCCAGCCCGGGGCUUCCAGUGGUCAGAGGCAGCUGGGUGGUGCCAGGAUGUCCGGGGAGUCUCUGUGGCUGGCUGGUCAGCUGGGCCCCAUGCUGCCAGGAGCUGUCUGGGCAGGAGUGCAGCCCUGUCUGAAGGGCUGGGGAGGUGCUGGCCUGGCAGGGCAGCGGGGCCACAGCCCGCCAGCUCCUGCAGUCCCCCGAGCCCACUGGCUGUCACGCAGCUGGGGCUCCUCACCUCUUCCUGUGCCGCGCGCCACCUCAGCCCUCCUUCCUGUCUGAUUUCAAAAGCCAACAGCCUUACAGACGAAUCAAUGAGCCGCGGCUGCUCUAGCCAGCUCCCUGGCUCUGACACCGCCCCCUAAGUUAGAGGCCGGGGUGCUGCCCGGGUCUUGCUUUGAGGAUGGAGUGCCCGUGCAGGCCUGAUGCUCAGGGGAAAGGGGUCCAGCCAGGGCCCAAAGGAAAGCAGACUCACCAUCAGCACACCUGUGCAUUUUGGGGGCUGGUAGGGAAACCAGGCCUGCAGUUGGCACGUUCAGUGACUUGCCCAAGGCCACCCAGCAGGGAGCUGGCCUUGCCAGGGCUGAGACAGUGUCUUCCACGCCCAGGUCAGCCUGCUGCCAUCCAGUGUGCCCUCCUCACCCUUCCUGACCCAUUGGCUUUCCUUCUCUCCUUCACCCAGCAGGCAGCUUGGCCUCAGCAGUAACCCACAGUCUCUUCCUGCGUCACAGGCCCCCAAGGCAGGUCGGCGUCACUUGAAACAGCAGACUGUGGCGGUUCACGCAGGGCCCUGGAGGUGGACCUCAGCACACAGGCUGCACUGAAGGAACAGCCCAGAGUGGACAACAGGAAAAAAGUUACAAUAGAGGAAAAAUACAGGACCCCCUCUGGCGACAGGAAGCAGACCACUUAACGUGAGGCUGCUGAGAAAAGCGAGUGACAAGGCGGGAGCAAAGUGAUGGGGACAUCAGUUUUCCUCAGAAAGCAAGUGGGAGCCGGUGAUGGUCAUAGAGCCAUAGAGUAGCAGGUUCAGCUGCGUGCGGCCGCUUGUGUGUGACAGGAGUGCGUGCCAGGUUCUGGGGGACACAUGGUGGCCACCUCGAGAAGCCUGCUGAGGCCCCAGGAAGCAGAGUGCAGACUGGAGGCUGCUCACCAGCGGCGGUGCAGCCGAGGCAUCUGAGAGCAGGCCACCCGCAGGAUGUUGGAAACCACAGGGGCCUGGUGGCUUUUGACCAACUUUAACCACUCGCCCAACACCUCAUCACCGUUCUGGGAGUCUGGGACGCCUUCAGGGGAGCAAGGGCUCCCAGGCUUCUCUCCAGGGAGUGCACCCAAGGCUGCACCGUCUCCACCACAAGCCAGGGAAGCCAGGGCCCUGCGCAGGCUUCCCAGACUCGUCCUGUUAAAAUGCAGAUUCUGCCUCUGUGGGGGUGGGUGGCCUGGCCUGCAGGUAACACACCCAGGUAAUGCUGCUCGGCCUUGGGCCUCUCCCAGAGUGCAGAGGGGGCUCGGCGCCCAGCGAGGGCUCGUCACUGAGGCUGUGUGGGUGGACAGACGUGUGGGUGAAGGAAUGAAUGGACAUUUGUCCUCUACGAACCAGAGGAAGGAGGAGCAGCAGGACUUCUGCAGACUUGGUGUGGGGGCUGAGGGGAGCUGUGGGGGCCGAGGGGAGCUGUGGGUCCCCUCCCCGUGGCUUGUUUCCCUCGUUGUUAUUCUAGAGGGUAGCAUCUAGAAGGUUUUUAUAAAGGCUUUUGGUUUUUAUUGCACAUCAUAUAAAACGGACUGCACUGUAUUUAAAACACAACACAUUCACAAGGACGCAGAGACCCAAAAUUUCUUCCUUUCUGGCCCUUACCUGUGCUCCACAGGCACCUGCAACCCACACCAGUUAACGAAGAACAUACUUAUUUUGGGGGCUUCAGAGCCGUGCUGAGCAUUCUGUACUGUCCAGUUUGCAGACUGCUGGUGACGAUGACAGGUACCCGGGCAGAACAGCUGGGCCAGCGGAGCACCUGGGGCCUGGCAAUGCAGGGCCUAUGGACACCUGGGCUGCUGGUGGAGGCUGGGCUUGCGGCCCAAGUGCCGGGAAGAACACGGGUGGGCAGGCUGGACCAGAUGUCCGUCUCAGAACACAGACACAGGUGACUGGUGGACAGAGUUCUGAGAUGCGGGCGAAUCUGGCCCCGCCUGGCCAGCUGGCGGCCCAGCACGCUCCUGAAACACACGGGGCCCUACGGGUUAAAAGCAGACGAGCUGUGGGCACUGAUGGAGGGAGGGGCCGGGGGCCCUGAAUCCAGCGGGCAACAUGCUCCCCAGGCCACUCCGGGAAAGGAAGUUGAGAGGAAGCCCACCCACGUCCAUGCUGUCCCCCAGUGGCAGCGGGUGUGGUCCCAGGGCCCAGAGCCCCGUGGGGGCCUGGCUCACUGAGGGGGUGCAGACCCUUGCGGGCUGCUGACGGCCGGGGGAGUGGAGGGGGGCCCGGGCUGGCCGGCUCUGCGCCCCCUCUUCUUGCCCAGAGGCUGCCGUCUCUUCCUCCCAAGCUUCUCUUUGCGGGCGGCGGCCGUGGUGAAAGUGAUGCAGUGGGCGUCCAGGAAGUCCAGCAGCUUCCCCGUGGCCACGUGGAUGCCCUGCUGCUUCAGCUCGGCCUGCAGCUCCGCCAGCUCGAAGGGCUGGUACAGCAGGACCUUGCGGUAGAGGGCCGGUCUGGAGCGGAUGCAUCGCCUCACCGCCUCUUCUGUGGCCGCUGCCUGGUCGGCCGCCUGAGAAGCACUGACCCCCUCCUCGCUCUCCUCAUCUCCUGCAGACUCCAGAGCCGCCCCAGACUCACAGGAAGAACUGCAAAGAACCAGACGGAAACAUCUCGUGACCCCCUUCUCUCCAUCCCCUACCUGAGACCAGGCACCUCUGCAGGGGGGAAGGGCAUGUCUCUGUGUCCCUGUGAGCCCAGCAGCUGUGUGCCCCGCGCUCUAGCCACCAGCCUGAGCAGGACAGCGCCCUCAGCCGGAAUCUCCUGCCGAGGGCAGCAGGGCAGGCUGGCCCCAUGCAGGAGGACCUACGAAGCCACUGGCCCUGUCCUUCCAUGGGGGUACCUUUGUGAGCGGCAGGAGCUGUCACUGCUGUCCACGGAGCUGGCUGUGGAUUCCUGAGAGGCUGGGAGCUGGG
This is a non-coding RNA of Sus scrofa (pig), 5726 nucleotides long. NCBI's taxonomy places the organism in Eukaryota, Metazoa, Chordata, Mammalia, Artiodactyla, Suidae. The record is from RefSeq and is a predicted model, not a curated record.